AACCUCCGCAAUGUGAGAAAUCGCGACGGGGGGAUCCCAAGUGCCAUUCUUAACGGGAUGGCUUUUCAUUAGUGUAAAGAGCUUUUGGAAUAAGAGCUGGGCAAGACCGGUGCCAGCCGCCGCGGUAACACCGGCAGCUCUAGUGGUAACAAUUUUUAUUGGGCCUAAAGCGUCCGUAGCCGGUUUAAUAAGUCUCUGGUGAAAUCCUGUAGCUUAACUGUGGGAAUUGCUGGAGAUACUAUUAGACUUGAGACCGGGAGAGGUUAGAGGUACUCCCAGGGUAGAGGUGAAAUUCUGUAAUCCUGGGAGGACCGCCUGUUGCGAAGGCGUCUAACUGGAACGGUUCUGACGGUGAGGGACGAAAGUUAGGGGCGCGAACCGGAUUAGAUACCCGGGUAGUCCUAACUGUAACGAUGCGGACUUGGUGUUGGGGUGGCUUUGAGCUGCUCCAGUGCCGAAGGGAAGCUGUUAAGUCCGCCGCCUGGGAAGUACGGUCGCAAGACUGAAACUUAAAGGAAUU
RNAcentral lists this ribosomal RNA (520 nucleotides) under uncultured bacterium. Its description in RNAcentral is "bacterial SSU rRNA". It matches the Rfam family "Archaeal small subunit ribosomal RNA", at positions 345 to 866 of the family's 1478-position model. The record is from RNAcentral.